UUUCAUUAACAUUCCCUCUGUAUGGAUGUUUAACCUGUCACCUUUGCUUUCCUUAAAACACCCCAACACAUCUGCAAAAGCAAAGUUAACAUCGGGACAAAAAUCAAGCAGAAAAAGAAAGCAAAACAGACCCCCUGGGUCUCAACUUCAUUCUGGCUGGCCUUCACCCCCCAGUAAACCGGCCAGAGGUUUUCCUCCACAGCAGCCACCAUAUCUGCCUCCCAUCCCAGGGAUGAAAGCAACUAUUAUUGCUGUCGUAAACGGGGCGGGAAGGCCAAUUCUACCCUAAUAAGUGUCUUUGUGGGUGUGCUUUCGGUAUGUGAAAAUAAUUGGGCCUUUUACAGGGAUGAUGAGACCCCAGAGAAGGCAGAUGGCACUGCCCACUUGUGUGAUGGUAUCCUCGGGCACUGGAGGGGGCAAAGAAUUUUAAACAAAGUAAGAGGGAGUAAAAGAGAGAGGAAAACAGGAAAGGGAAGUUUGGGCCUCGAUUCUGCAGUCUAGCUCUGCAGUCUGGGUAGCCUCUUCCCCACUCAAACAAACGGAAGCGAAGAAAGGAAUCCAGCAACUGGCACAAACCGCUGAGGUUGCUGUGCUCUGAUUGGACGGGACUACGGUAGGCGGGACUAGCACAGCCACCAGCACCAGGCGACACAGCAGGCGGAGGUGGAAAGAACUGCCUUUUGGUAGUUAGCUCUGACGUAAACCUAGAGAUUCAUGGGAACGUCUGAAAACGUGGACUGCCAGAAAUUUCAAAGGCAAAGAAAAAAAGACAAAAGUGCGUGGGUCCGUCAAUUUGUGUUGUGUGUGAGUUUUUGGUCCAAUCGAUCUCUGCAUAGCAAGGAAAGAUGUGACACUCUUUAAUCACCUAUAUGAAGCAGUGUCUUCACUCGAGGCCAGUGGGGACACCUAUGUAUGUCCCUUUUAAAAUCUUAAUUUAAUGACACUCUAUUUGCAACUUCUACUAAUAAACUAUUUACAGAAAACAGGACAGAUAAAGUCUUGUGUUAAAUGGUCCUGAAUCUCAAUGAGAAACGGCUGAUACUGGGACUCGACCCUUUCUUUCGCCUUAGAUCUACAAAUACCCAGCCUUCAGGAGGGCAACCGUUCGUUCAAGAAGCUGAGAGCUAGGAAGAGAGAGAAGGGAGCCAGAAGGUUGAAGACGACUGUAGAAAGGUUUUAACCGUCAUGUGGUUCCGAGCUCUCAGAGUGAAGCAGGAGGUGGGUUCUGAUGCAGGAGCUACAGAGCUUAUUUUUAUUAUCUUCCCGGGAGACGGAGACCGACUUUUUAUUCCUUCUGCAACUCACAACACUGCUCUGGAGGCCAUCCUGAGGACUGUUGCUGAAAGAAAAAAAAAAAAAAAAGUCUGGAUUUUUGACCCAGGUCUAUCUAUAGGUGCCUUUCCCAGACAAUCAUCCUGAUACUCAUCUGUCACCUUUGUCACCACCAGCACCCGAACUUACAGGCCGCCAGUCUGCCCCGAGGCCAAGCAAGCACAGGGACCCCGCGCCUAGCUACGGGGACUUGGAGGCGCCAGAGCCUGGUGCGUUCUGCGCGGCCCGGCCGGGAGUGGCUCAGGGCCAUGCCCUCCCACGGGCAGCAUCCAGGGCCAAGGCCGGUUCAGCCUCACGUUUGCGACUCUGUUUUCCUUUCAAGCCUUCCCAUCCGGGAAACCCUCUGUCGCUGAUCAGACGGUCGCGAAGAGUCAUGAGCACACGGGGAGGGAGAAGCUCUGCAGACCCUGGACCCCGCUUGGCUCGACCUCCUCCGCAGAGCUUGUCCUUGGCUUGCAGCGGCGGAGACCACGCGCGACAGAAGCAGAAAAGCCUCGGGAGCAGGUUCCACCGGAGACCUCGAGCCGGCCGGGGCGCACAGGCUGUCGGAGCUGCAGAGCUCUGGAGCCUUCCGUUAAGAACUUAUUAAGGGGGUUGGGGAUUUAGCCCAGUGGUAGAGCGCUUGCCUAGCAAGCGCAAGGCCCUGGGUUCUGCCCCCAGCUCCGAAAAAAAGAAAGAAAGAAAGAAAAAGAACUUAUUAAGUGGGAGGUGGUUAAGAGUUGAUCUGUCGCAGAGCGCUACUUACCCCAGAUCUUUGAGAUUUUUGAAUUACUUUUAUUGAUCUGUAGACUGUGUUCUUUGGAAUGUGACCCCGUCGGACUUCGAGUUAAUCAGGAAGCGCUGCCGGGGAGGGUUCCUUGUCAUCACCCCCGGACCUCCCCCACCGCGGGCACACUCCCCACCCCACCCUUAAUAGCAGCCUGGGCCGUGCCUGGAACCGCCAGCCCUUGGAACCCGCCCCACUGCGCGACCGGGAGCUGUCUGUGGUGCUAGGAAAGAGAACCUGGGAGAUCGCCCGGAGUAGGGACAGGCAAGAAGAGGUAAAGAGGAAGAAACAGAAUGGCAGCUCACCCAAAAAGGCUCAAAAUGGCUGAGGCCUUUCACAUUCGAAGCGAGGAAAAGAUGUCCUGUGAGUCUUCCCAUCCCCCCUUAAGAAAGUGGGGCUAGUUUUCCAACAGCAAACGGCCAGUGACAUCUCCCUUUCUCAGACAGCCCUGGAGCCCACCAACACCCAGUCUGGGUUUCCACACCUACUCCCGUUCAGACAGAAGCAAGUUGUCUUCUACAGGCGAUAUGGAAGAGUGCUGGGCACUGGGACCCAACUCAAAAAAAAAAAAAAAUACUCAAGUGACAGAGAAGACUAAAGACCCCCCAGAAAGUAUUCUCGAACAAAGUGAGAGAAGACUCCUAAAGAAGUUCAUCCAGGGUCAGACCUGGAGAUGACCCCAUUCGCCCACAACUGCCUGUGGUCAGCCACCAGGACACAGGGUGGGCCAGCUUCCCCCAACAAGGGUUCAAAGCUGCCCAGGAAAGCCUGGUUCAUCUUCUCCAGAACUGUUUGUGAGUGGUGAAAAGUCAGGGCUUGUUCUCCAAGCUUGCUGACUUCAAGCCCUGCCUGGCUUUUUCUUCCAGUGUAUUCUUUGUAACCUCAUGGUUUAACAAGCACUGAAGUUUCCCUAGCCCUGGGGAGGGCUUUUCCCAAUGUCUUUAGAAAGUUAAAAAUAUAACAAACCAAA
Rattus norvegicus (Norway rat) is the source of this 3068-nucleotide non-coding RNA. NCBI's taxonomy places the organism in Eukaryota, Metazoa, Chordata, Mammalia, Rodentia, Muridae. The record is from RefSeq and is a predicted model, not a curated record.